UGUAACAUAUGACAGUGUAACAGAUGACUUUGUAUCAUACUGGAUUAUGAAAGAAUUUUGUAUAUUUCUUGUUUACAGCUCUGUAACAUUUGAGUAUUUUGUAUAAUAUAACCGGUAAAUCUAUAACAAUGUCAGUGGACAUGAUUGACGUCAUAAACAGGACAGAUUUCAUCAACGCCACUUAUGAGAGCAGACAACAUUUUUAUGAUGAACUGGAGAAUUGGAAAAUCGAUGUCAAAAGUAGACCAGCCAAGGACAUUGUAGACGAAUUCUGCAUGAUAUUUAGACUUUUAAAGGCUAAGUACUGUACGACUGACAUUCAGAAUGAAGUGGUUGUUGACAUGGUUACAAACACACUUGGUCGAAUGUCUGGGGAGUGGUGCACUGUCAUGUCCGACAAUCAACUGGGACCUCUACACCAACUUUAUAUACAGUUUUAUAUGGAUACGUUAAAACUUGGAUUACGACCGACUCAUGUUAUUGUCGUGCAGGCAUUAACACAGGAG
Molecule: long non-coding RNA, 506 nt
Organism: Patella vulgata (common limpet)
Lineage: Eukaryota; Metazoa; Mollusca; Gastropoda; Patellidae
Exons: 3
Source: RefSeq, a predicted model, not a curated record